GGCUCAGAGGGGUUGAGUAACUUUCUCAAGGUCACAUGGAUGCUGAAUGUGGAAGCCAGGACUUGAACUCAAGUCUGUCUGGCUCUGAACCUAAGCUCUGAACCUCUAUGUUAACUCUCUGUAUCCAACUGCUUCCAUCCAGUCUGCAGCUCUGACCUGGCCAGCUAUCUGGCACUUCUGGGCUUUUGGUCCAGGGGAAUGAGGUGAUAACAGCAGGGAUGGCUCCAUGUAGACUCAGCACUGCAGAGGAAAGUACAGCCACCCGAUGGAACAGUGGAGAGGUGGGGAGUGCAGAGCACUGCAGAGGUGGCAGGACAAGAUGACCUGAGUCUAUCCAACCUUGACGUUCAGUGACUUGGCCACCUCGGACCUGUGAAUGGACCUGGCAAAUGCCUAUACUGAACCUUUAGUUUGAAUGGUCUAAAAACCCUGCUGGGAAGGGUAGCAAGAGGCUUUCUGAUAAGCUGCUCUGAAAUGGAGUGAAGACACAAUCCCUGUGUGGCCCAGUGACUGGAGAAAGUGGGAGCCAGGGGAUGAGUCAGCAGUUGGAAAUAGCAUGCCUGACACCAGCAGCAUUCAUAAGCACGUGUCAUCCAGCAGCCAUCCUGUCUGCUCACAGCACCGUGACGCCUUCUCCAGGGGACCUGUGCAGUUUGGGUCCCCCAGGUGAGGCUUGGCAUGGAUCUACAGAGGAGCAGCCAAGAUACCCCUUAACUUCCAAGAGUGAGUCUGGUCCUUGUGAAUUAUUCAGUCAUUCAAGCAAACAGCAGCUGAGCCCCUACACCAUGCUAGCCAUGACUCAGACUCAGUUCACAGGCUGUGGGAGGGAGGCACAUGAAUAAUUACCAUGUGAUGUGCUCAGAUCUGGGGUGGGGACCUGUACAGAGUGACAGAACUCGGGGGACAGGGCAGAGGAGCACAGCCUCAGUGACCUUGGCUAACAGUCCAGAGGAGAACUUGUAGGAAGGAAGGCUGUGGGAAAUGUUCAUGCUUCACUUAGAAGAACGUCUUAUUCCUGAGGAUCCUGGAGAUGUGUCAUAUAGGCUGGGUCUCCCUUAUCUGAAAUGCUUUUAGACAGAAGCAUUUCAGAUUUCGGAUUUUUUUGGAUUUUGGAAUAUUUGCAUUACCCUAUGACCAUCAUUUUCAGCCACAUCUUUACGACACAGAGAAUGAGCAAAACUACGGUUCUCAUAUUACUCAAGAUCUUUUCCCCUCCUGCCCCUUCUGCAUCAGGGUCACUUACCGUGAGAGAGUCACCCAGGGCCCCAAUGACACUGAUGUCAGCCGGCUUCAGCCUGUGAACUGAGAAUACAAGCAGGAGUGAGUGGAAAAUGGGGACGGGGUGUCUAAGAAAGCACUGGACCUAUCUGCUCUGAAGCAAAGGAAUAUCUUCCAGGAUAACAAAGAAAAAGUCAGUUUUUACCAGCAGGACACCUUGGAUAAAAGACAGAAAAAACCCAUCCUUGUCAAUGGGCUCUGCAACGCCAGCCAUGGAGCCUGAGCGCCAGCUUCUUCUCUGGGGCACCUGGACACAGGAACAGGAAGCUGAAAAGCUGGACCCUGCUUUAAGCAGGGAGCUGUGCUUGCAUUUGGUGAGACCUGAUGCUACCAGCUGAGUAGUGGCAGGCCCUUGGCAGGGAGAUGUGGGAGUGGGGAAGGAAUUGCCAUGAAAAUAAAACCAAUACUUCAUCUA
Sapajus apella (tufted capuchin) is the source of this 1693-nucleotide long non-coding RNA. RefSeq lists it as uncharacterized. The record is from RefSeq and is a predicted model, not a curated record. Lineage: Eukaryota; Metazoa; Chordata; Mammalia; Primates; Cebidae. The transcript has 2 exons.